This 468-nucleotide ribosomal RNA is filed under the name uncultured bacterium. RNAcentral describes it as "bacterial SSU rRNA". It matches the Rfam family "Bacterial small subunit ribosomal RNA", at positions 328 to 793 of the family's 1533-position model. The record is from RNAcentral.
GGGCCAGACUCCUACGGGAGGCAGCAGUGAGGAAUAUUGGUCAAUGGUCGGGAGACUGAACCAGCCAAGCCGCGUGAGGGAUGAAGGUACAGAGUAUCGUAAACCUCUUUUGUCAGGGAGCAACGCCGGCUACGUGUAGCCGGACUGAGAGUACCUGAAGAAAAAGCAUCGGCUAACUCCGUGCCAGCAGCCGCGGUAAUACGGAGGAUGCGAGCGUUAUCCGGAUUUAUUGGGUUUAAAGGGUGCGUAGGCGGAAUGCCAAGUCAGCGGUAAAAUCGCGGGGCUCAACCUCGCUCCGCCGUUGAAACUGGCGUUCUUGAGUGGGCGAGAAGUAUGCGGAAUGCGUGGUGUAGCGGUGAAAUGCAUAGAUAUCACGCAGAACUCCGAUUGCGAAGGCAGCAUACCGGCGCGCAACUGACACUCAUGCACGAAAGCGUGGGUAUCGAACAGGAUUAGAUACCCUUGUAC